UAUAUUUCUUAUUUGUUUUCAGACACUCUCUGACCCAAACAGUCAUCCUUGUCUUCCUUUUUUUUCCCCUUCUCUUCUGCUGCAGGAUGGCAGCAGCCAGACAAAGCAGUUCUUCCUCAAGGGCAGCAGCAUGUUGGGCUUCUUCCUGACAAAAAUUCAUUUCCAUAUUCUAGAAAUCCAUAUUC
Molecule: long non-coding RNA, 185 nt
Organism: Thalassophryne amazonica
Lineage: Eukaryota; Metazoa; Chordata; Actinopteri; Batrachoidiformes; Batrachoididae
Exons: 3
Source: RefSeq, a predicted model, not a curated record